Long non-coding RNA from Cyprinus carpio (common carp), 1412 nucleotides. NCBI's taxonomy places the organism in Eukaryota, Metazoa, Chordata, Actinopteri, Cypriniformes, Cyprinidae. The record is from Ensembl.
AUGUCGGAGCAGCCAGAGGGCAAAGGAAUUUUUAAUCAUCUUUUUAAUGCUGCAGCCCGUGCAAGACAGGAGCUGGCAGCGAGAAAUGAUGAUUCAACCUUACUUUCCACAACAAGACGACUAUUUCGCCAGCGAGUUCAUCGAGUUCGAGGAGGAUCUGGUGGCCGCAGGGAAAACUCUAUUUGGCAAGCAAAACUUUUCCUCCUUCCAGGACCAGAUAAUGGUUUUCUGCCCCCCACAACAGAACUUGAGGAACUGGCUAAACAUGGAUUAGGUAAACGUGAGAUUGAAGCAGAUAAGAAUUGUGUUAUUUACUUUUACACCUUAUUAUCUAACCUUCUUGCAAAGAAAGCUAUGGAAUGAGCUGCUUUGGAUUUUAUGUUAGCUUGAGCCUGUAUGAUCCGAUUUGUUAUACUGUCUCUAUAUUGGGAAACAUUUGAACAGUUUACUCUUUGAUGCAUUUCCAUGAGUUUCCAUGUAGCCAUUUUAAUAGUUACACCUAUGCAACACUUUCUCAUGCCAAGGCAUCACUUUGAAAGUGUCCAGGAAUACCUCCCAAUGAAUCCUUUUGCAUCAGCUAUCUGAAGUUAGUCAAUGGUGGUUAUGGUUAGUGUGAGGAUCUGGGUGGUGCAUUCAGAUGCUAAGCUACACCAUAUAUUGUAUGUUAAUGUUCUUUCACAUAUGGUCAAAUGUGUGAUGGCCUUGUGAGUGAGACCAGGCUCUUUCUUCUGUCAUAUGCAAUUUUCUUAGGAGUGUAGGGUUCGUUUAGUUUCAAAGCUGUAAACUUAGUAGAAACACAAAUGAUCUUAGGUUAACUGUGGUAGUCACACAGGUCUACUUUUGGGGUUUGGCAACACUGCGAUUAUGUCUGAAAAUAUGAGUCCUGAAAGAUCUUGUAGCAACUAAUGAAUGUUACUUUGCCACUAGGAACCGAUUAUACUGAUGUUUACAUUUCCAUUUUUAGGAAAACCUGUGCACGAGUCAACGGAGACCGGACGCACAAACUCAAAGAUUGGGUUAAACUGGAGUUUAGGUUUUUUUUUUUUUUCUAAUAUGUAUUAAGAUGUAUCUAUUUAUUCUGUGUGAUGUCUGAGCAUUUACAUUCCCUAGGAUAAGUUUUUGUAAUUUUUCUACCUAUGAAUAUUUUCUAAUGAUGUAUUUUGUUUCCACUAUGAGUGUGUGUUCUUUUGCUGAAGGUGAAAUCAUUUGGAUUUUCUGUGUACUACCAGGUGGCAUCCACAUCCUCUGCCAUAUCCAUGGAUUCAUUCCCACCACUCUCAAUUGCUCCGGUACAAGAUGAGGCCGCGCCUGUGGCUGAGAGUACCCAAGCUCAAAGUGUGGUUGCAAAUCAGGUAACCAAUAUUGACACUGUAUAGAAUAAAUAGUAUUUAGUCAUUUUAUCUGCGUGUACU